UCUCACUAUUCCAUCUUUAUCCUCUCCUCCUUUCACUCCAAUCGGAGCCUGAAGGAGAGCUUCCUCCUGUCGCCCUCCUCAUAUAGAAGCAGUCGUGCAGAGGUCGCAGGGGAGGAGCGACAGCGGCUCGAUGACGAGGAGGAGCAGCGGUGGCGGUGGCUGGCGAUGAG
Molecule: unclassified non-coding RNA, 170 nt
Filed under: Oryza sativa (Asian cultivated rice)
Lineage: Eukaryota; Viridiplantae; Streptophyta; Magnoliopsida; Poales; Poaceae
Description: partial microRNA MIR435e precursor
Source: RNAcentral